CUCACCGCCCGUCACAUCACUUGAAUCUGGUGCUCCCGAAGUCGCUGGCCGAACCCGUGAGGGACGGAGGCGCCGAAGGAGUGCCCGGUGAGAGGGGUG
RNAcentral lists this ribosomal RNA (99 nucleotides) under uncultured bacterium. RNAcentral's name for it is "partial 16S ribosomal RNA". It matches the Rfam family "Bacterial small subunit ribosomal RNA", at positions 1386 to 1482 of the family's 1533-position model. The record is from RNAcentral.